RNAcentral lists this ribosomal RNA (1521 nucleotides) under metagenome. RNAcentral's name for it is "bacterial SSU rRNA". It matches the Rfam family "Bacterial small subunit ribosomal RNA". The record is from RNAcentral.
AGAGUUUGAUCCUGGCUCAGAGCGAACGCUGGCGGCGUGGAUCAGGCAUGCAAGUCGGACGAUCCAUUAAAGCAAUUUGAUGGAUAGUGGCAGAAGGGUUAGUAACGCGUGGGUAAUUUACCUUAGAGUUGGGAAUAACCUGCCGAAAGGCGGGCUAAUACCGAAUAACAUUUUUUUUACGCAUGUGAAAAAAAUCAAAGGUGGCCUUUAACAAGCUAUCACUUUAAGAUGAGCCCGCGUCCUAUCAGCUUGUUGGUGAGGUAAAAGCUCACCAAGGCAUUUGACGGGUAGCUGGUCUGAGAGGAUGGUCAGCAACACUGGGACUGAGACACUGCCCAGACUCCUACGGGAGGCUGCAGUCGAGAAUCUUUAUCAAUGCCCGAAAGGGUGAAUAUGCGACGCCGCGUGUAGGAAGAAGGUCUUCGGAUCGUAAACUACUGUCAGGGGUGAGGAAAUCCUGCUGACUAAUAAUCAGUAGGUUUGACGUUAACCCCAGAGGAAGCCACGGCUAACUCUGUGCCAGCAGCCGCGGUAAUACAGAGGUGGCAAGCGUUGCACGGAUUUAUUGGGUGUAAAGGGCAGGUAGGCGGCCAAGUAAGUCUGUUGUGAAAUCCCAGGGCUCAACCCUGGAACUGCAGCGGAAACUACAUGGCUUGAGUAUCGUAGAGGUAAGGGGAAUUCCAGGUGUAGGAGUGAAAUCCGUAGAUAUCUGGAGGAAUACCGAAGGCAAAGGCACCUUACUGGGCGGAUACUGACGCUGAACUGCGAAAGCUAGGGGAGCAAACAGGAUUAGAUACCCUGGUAGUCCUAGCUGUAAACUAUGUGGAUUAGAUACUGGGAGAAUCGAUCCUCCCAGAGUCGAAGCUAACGCGUUAAAUCCACCACCUGGGGAGUACGGUCGCAAGACUGAAACUCAAAGGAAUUGACGGGGACCCGCACAAGCGGUGGAGCAUGUGGUUUAAUUCGAGGCUACGCGAAGAACCUUACCUGGACUUGACAUACUAGCAGUAAUCCCGGAGAAACUCGGGAUGAUCGUAUCCAAUCGAAGGCUAGAACAGGUGCUGCAUGGCUGUCGUCAGCUCGUGCUGUGAAGUGUUGGGUUAAGUCCCGCAACGAGCGCAACCAUCGCCCUUAGUUGCCAACAGGUAAUGCUGGGAACUCUAAGGGGACUGCCGGCGAUGAGCUGAGGAAGGUGGAGAUGACGUCAAGUCAGCAUGGCCCUUACGUCCAGGGCUACACACGUGCUACAAUGGCCGGUACAAAGGGCUGCAAACCCGCGAGGGCAAGCCAAUCCCAAAAAGCCGGCCUCAGUUCGGAUUGUAGGCUGCAACUCGCCUGCAUGAAGCUGGAAUCGCUAGUAAUGGCGUAUCAGACACGACGCCGUGAAUACGUUCCCGGGUCUUGUACACACCGCCCGUCAAGCCACCUGAAUCGGGGGCACCCGAAGUCAUCUGUCUAACCCGCAAGGGAGGAAGAUGCCGAAGGUGAAACCGGUGAGGAGGGCUAAGUCGUAACAAGGUA